AUACGGAGGGUGCAAGCGUUAAUCGGAAUUACUGGGCGUAAAGCGCACGCAGGCGGUCUGUCAAGUCGGAUGUGAAAUCCCCGGGCUCAACCUGGGAACUGCAUUCGAAACUGGCAGGCUAGAGUCUUGUAGAGGGGGGUAGAAUUCCAGGUGUAGCGGUGAAAUGCGUAGAGAUCUGGAGGAAUACCGGUGGCGAAGGCGGCCCCCGGGACAAAGACUGACGCGCAGUUGCGAAAGCGUGGGGAGCAAACAGGAUUAGAUCCCCUGGUAUUCCACGCCGUAAACGAUGUCGACUUGGAGGUUGUGCCCUUGAGGCGUGGCUUCCGGAGCUAACGCGUUAAGUCGACCGCCUGGGGAGUACGGCCGCAAGGUUAAAACUCAAAUGAAUUGACGGGG
RNAcentral lists this ribosomal RNA (396 nucleotides) under uncultured bacterium. RNAcentral describes it as "partial 16S ribosomal RNA". It matches the Rfam family "Bacterial small subunit ribosomal RNA", at positions 523 to 918 of the family's 1533-position model. The record is from RNAcentral.